AUCUAUAUUUGGUCAGUUGAGCUAUUGUUGAGUCAAUGAAUUAAAACUCGCACAUUUCUUGUUAAUUAUGGUGAUUGUAGAUUGACAGGGGUGGAUUUAUGCGGUUUUAGCUUGAAACUUUAAUUUCUCGCUUAUUUUAACACAAAAUAUUCGCCACGUUUUGCUUGCCAUGCAAGAUAUCUACAUUGCACCCUCUUUAGAAGAAUAUUCCAAUAAUUUCGAUAAUUAUACCUCAAAAAAAAUUUUUUUUAAAGAUUUAUAUAAGAAGGCUAAAUAUAAAUCAGAAACAGUAUAUGACAAAGGACAGAGAAAGGAAGUAUAUUAUUAUUUAUAUCAUAUUACACUCAGUG
RNAcentral lists this long non-coding RNA (350 nucleotides) under Mytilus galloprovincialis (Mediterranean mussel). Lineage: Eukaryota; Metazoa; Mollusca; Bivalvia; Mytilida; Mytilidae. The record is from RNAcentral.